This 72-nucleotide transfer RNA is filed under the name Thermoflexales bacterium. RNAcentral describes it as "tRNA-Gly". It matches the Rfam family "tRNA". Rfam says of the family: Transfer RNA (tRNA) molecules are approximately 80 nucleotides in length. Their secondary structure includes four short double-helical elements and three loops (D, anti-codon, and T loops). Further hydrogen bonds mediate the characteristic L-shaped molecular structure. tRNAs have two regions of fundamental functional importance: the anti-codon, which is responsible for specific mRNA codon recognition, and the 3' end, to which the tRNAs corresponding amino acid is attached (by aminoacyl-tRNA synthetases). tRNAs cope with the degeneracy of the genetic code in two manners: having more than one tRNA (with a specific anti-codon) for a particular amino acid; and 'wobble' base-pairing, i.e. permitting non-standard base-pairing at the 3rd anti-codon position. Lineage: Bacteria; Bacillati; Chloroflexota; Thermoflexia; Thermoflexales. The record is from RNAcentral.
GCGGGUGUGGCGCAGUGGUAGCGCAACUGCUUCCCAAGCAGUGAGUCGUGGGUUCGAAUCCCAUCACCCGCU